AGGAUAUUGGACAAUUCUUGCAAUUCUUCAUAGUUGUGGAGAGAGGAGAGCAAUGAUACACGACGUGACUUCUGUGAAUUUACAUCCAUGGACUUGCUGGUAGAGGGGUGCAUUACUUUUAUCGGUCUGGACCAAUUCUUCAGGACAUCAACUUCUAUCUUCUUCCAGUUGGUUUUCUUGUUUUUGCUUUUCUUCUUCCCCAUUAUUAUGGCAGAUGCACACUGACCUUUUCUGUUUGGAUUAAAAUUCCAGUGGCUUGGACGAGAUAGAACUUACAUAAGUGCAACUGUAUUCACCACUAUAUUUCUAUCUUUGAUCUUGGUGAGUUUGUUUCUCUAUACCUUUCUUAUUUUUUUAAUCUUUUUUCUAGGCAAGAUUAUAAGUGAAACUGGAUUCUUUCUUUCAUUACUGUAUAUAAGCCCUUGAAAAUUAAGUUUAUAAAAGCACACUUACAUUUGUUUUAAGCUAACUGUGAUGCCAGGCUGCUUUGGACUUAAGAAACAGGGAAAGCCUGAAUAUUAGCUUUAAUUAUGCUAAUCUGUUAUGGUCGACUAGAUAUUCCUUUAACCUGAAAGGGAUCUUCUGGAUGUGUGGUAGUCUAAAGCUAUGCUGCAGUGGACCUUACAACCUUUUAUUUUCAAGACCAAAAAGAUGUGUGCAGUUCUGAUAUGGUGAUUUUCACAAGACGUCAUGAGUUUUACACACCAAACUGGAGUUUUUUUUUUUCUUGGGACCUAUUGGUUGGGUGAAAAAAGAAGAGCAGUAGCACCAGAUGCGCAUCAUUGAGAUCAAAGAACAAAUUAAAGAUGAUACACCGUGCCCCCAAAAAACAGACAAUGAAGCCUUUUCCAGUACAUUUGAGGACAUGUUGAACAAAUCUUCACUUAAAAAUGAGUUAAUUCCAGACAUAAAAAUCAUGGGUGACAGUCCUCGAGGAAUAGAGAUAUUUGAAGAUCAUUUUCAAGCUUCAACAUCUGGUGAAGACUCCGUGCAGAUCCCAGCUUCAUCUAAAUAUGUAGGAAGUAAUGAUUCUUUAAGAAUAGAUCCAUUAGUAGAUCUUGGACUAGAAGAAAAUUGAAAGGUGCUGCUUCGACGUUGAAGUUGUUUAGCCCCAGCAAGCUAACUUGGAUGUCUGGCAUAGAUGGUCAAGAAAAGGUAGUGUUAACUGCUGCAGAAGUAGAAUCUCUUCGAUCAGAAAUCCCUGCUUUGGAAGAAAGAAAAGCUCAUUUCAAAACUCAGGUUAUGUGAUUCCUUUGAUCCUAACGUUCCAUUCUAACACAGCUUCCUGGUCCGUACUAUCACUGUUGUGAGGUUUGAUCUUUACCUUAUUAAAAAAAAAAGCUACUUUUUUCAUUCAAUUGAUGUUUUUUUAGUUUUUGUUUUGAUAUCUGUCAGAUGUGCCUCAGAUUAUUAUUAUUUUUUGGCGAAGCCUCAACUACUUUGUUUCCCUGCAAAAUAACCAGGGUUCAAAGCUUGCCCCAUUUUCUCCUCCCGACAAUAUUUUACAAGUGCUAUUGAUUGGUAAGUUGCAAUCGCCUUUGCUCCUUCUGGCGUUUAAACCAGAAGGUGCAAAUAUAAACUUUUUGCUGACGGAUUUUUUUAUUUUUAAAUCAUUUAGUUUAUUUUUUUAUUUAAAAAAAUACCACAUGGCUUUAAAAAAAAAAGUCUACCCAUUUUUUUGAGUAGAUAUAUUUUUUUUAAAGCCACAUGAUAAUUUUUUUUUCCUGGUGGGUCGGGUUUGAUUCGUUUAAAAAAAUGGGUAGAUUUAUAUUUUUUUAAAGCCACGGAGAUAUUCUUUUACACGAAUCAGACCCGAUCCACCAGAAAAAAAAUUACAAUGUGCCGUUAGAAAAAUAUAUCUACUAAAAAAACGAGUAGACUUUUUUUUUAAAGCCACAUGACAUUUUUUUAAUUAAAAAAUUAGCUAAAUGAUUUUUUUUUUUAAAUCCCGUUAGUGAAAAGGAUAUAUUUGCACUAUUUGUGUAAGUGCAGGAUAUAUUUGCACCAUUUUGUAAGGACAAGGGUAUAUAUACAUCACUUUUUUACGAGGGUUAUAUCUGCUCUAAAUCGCAAAGUUGAGGAAUAUAUUUACACCUUUGCUCUAAUAAAAAAGACGUUUGAUUAAUAAACAUUGUUUCUUACAUUAAAUUAUAACAUUACUAUUUAUUCAUAUUUUAUAUUUUUUUGCGCGUACAAGUCCACUAGUUUAUGUAUAAAUUGUAUUACUUUUAAUCGAUACUCGUAUAGAGACAGGUCAAACAUAUUCUAUAAUUAAUCUUAAAACCUUUUUAUGAUGUGUCCUACUGUUGGUUUUCCUAAAAGAACGUGAACAUCUCCUUCCUAUUUUAAUUGAUUUAAACGUGUUGAAUUUCCUCAUACUAGUCUAAGCGUACGCCCGUUGCGCGUGUCCCUUGUACUAAUGAGAAUAAAUUUUUAAAAAUAAUAUUAAAGAAACGUGUUUGAGUUAUAAUAUAAAAAUUAACAAAAUUUGGAAGUUUCAAUAUGAUAAAUGUGAACAUAUUUAUGAUUAGGGUUCAUAAAGAAUCACGAGUCACAAAUUUAUCAUCGAAAGAUAUUACUCUAUUUAGCCUUUCUUUUUGUCCAUUUUUCUCUCUUUUUUACUGUUAUGAAGACAUUAAUUCGCUCAUUUGAUAAUUGUUGUUGAUAUCUUUUGUGUUUCUUUUCACUUGAACUAUAUAUUGCUAAGAUAUUUUUUAAAAGAAUUUAAUUUUUUCACAAUUCAUUACAUGUAAGAUGAAAUAUUAAUAAGGUAAAUUUUCGUUGCAAUUUAAAUUAGAAUACCCGUAAUGGGAGAAUUCUUGUCUUUCUCAUUAUCCUUAAUUUUUCCUUUUUUAAGAUUCUUCCUUAUAAUUUGUUUCCAACUAUGUCUAAACAAUUUAAUGUCAGAAAGAAAAACAACUCCCAAUAUCUCCUUAAUUUUAGGAUUUGGAUAAUUAAAUGUCUAUUACUAAAUAUUAGGGGAAUAAUUAAAUUAAUAUAGUAUAGAUUAAUUUGAGAAAAAAUUUAAACGACAAUUUUGUAUGUUAUAAAGUUUUUUAAUGAAGGACAAAAAACUCGAUCAACAUUUUAAGGCACACAUAAAAUUAACAGAUUUCAAGUUUUCAACAUUACAAAAUAAAGGAGUAAAAAAAGUAAAACCAAAUCAUAGUAGAAAAUUAUCUUUUAUUAGCAAAUAAAACACAUAAAAGAGAACCAAAAUAAACAAAGAAGAGAAACUUUUGUUAUGCGUAUAGCAUUAGCAAACUACAUACCAUGACUAUAUUAUAACCGAUACAACAAUCAAAUAUAACAUUUUAUUAUGUAAACUAAUCGGUUUGAAACUUAUUUGACGUGAUUUUACACUUCUAAAAGUAUCUGUUGUUAAACGAAAUAGCACAAAAAUAAAUAGAAAAUGUAAAUAUUAACAAAUACCACUAUCAAAUAUAAAAUUUAUUAAGUAAACUUAUCGAUUUGGAAGUUGUUAAAAGAAAUAACAAAAGAAAAUAAAUAUUAACAGAUACAACAAUCAAAUAUAAAAUUUAUUACGUAAACUUAUCGUUUGAAACUUACUCUUCGCGACUUUACAUUUCUAAAAAUAUCUGUAUAAAACAAUUAAUAGUCGUUUACUUCGUUCAUAACUAUCUUUCUAAAACAAGGGGUAAAGCUUUCAUAUUGAAAAUUUUUGGUCAACCCUCAGGACAAAAAUAAUAAUUAAUAGCACGAACUAAGAGUUGUGCAUAUUUAGAAAAACCCUUCCUAAAAUCAAGCAGAAAACUAAAAUUUCGUAAGUGGGCAAUCAAGCAAAUUUUAGGGAAGUGAAGAGACCAGUAAAUCAAGCAGAAAAUUAAAAUGAGCAAAUUAUUUAAUCGUUGUAGGAGGAGAACCAAAGAUCUGAGCAAACUGUUCCGGUAUUGACCCUUCCUUCAUUAUCAUGUAGGCUUUGAGAGUAUUCAACAAUUUAUAUGGACAAUAUACUCAUAUGGCUCAUAUCCAUGGGCAUGAGCUUCGGCUGAGGAAUGUAUUACUUAAGGCAUCACUGUAUUUGGUUUCCAAUUUAAACUUUUUCCUCAACUUCUUUAAACCUUUUAGUACUCACAAUCAUAGCAGGAACUCAUGCUCAUUAAUAUUAAAUAAACCUUUUUUCUUUUAUCUUUCAAAAAAGAUGGAGAAGUUUUCAGUUCAGAUGAUGAGAUGAAUUAACAACCUUUAAGUUAUGGAGUUAAGAUAAUUAGCCACCAAAAUCAGAAUCACCAUGUAUUGAUACAAUCAACUGCCAGUGGAAGUGAAAAACCAAGAGAUGGAGGAUCAGGAGAUCGAGGAGGCGGAGGGACAACAAAUUCAAGCACAACUCUUGCCAUCCAGCUUUAUGGAGGAAUUACAACAGACCCAUCAGACAACUGGACAAUGGCUGGGAGAAAACAUCUUAGAACAGAUAGUACAAAAUCAGAGGCGGAGCCAGGAUUCGAAGCUUGUGGGUUCGGGGUUCUAAUUCUUUAAAUUUACUGGGUUCUUAAUUAAUAAUUUAUACAUAUUUGACAAAAAUUUUAAUACAAAUAUAUGGUUCGGACAAAAGCUACUGGGUUCGGUCGAACCCCCACCCGAAGGGCUGGCUCCGCCCCUGUACAAAACAUAACACUGGGGGAAUCUCUAUCUUUGACACUCCACGAAAAUGAGGAAUGACUCUUCCUCGUAACAGUGCCGAAAGAGGUACUGAGAGUGGCACUUACAGGUUGUACCGCCAGACCUUGAUACACAAAUAUGUUGUGCUAAUAUUACCUACACUGAUGGAAUCUGACAUUCCAAUGACAAAGGGAACAUCACAUCCAUUGCUAUCUCACCUCGCGAUGUCACUAGCCCCAGGAGGAAGUUCCACCAUACACUAUGAAUCCCAAAUGAAAGUCUUAUUAUGUAACUGCCGCGGCUGCAAUAGCCCGGAUUUUCAAAGAAAUUUAGAGUUAUUGUUGCAUGGAACAAUCCCACUAUAAUAUGUUUAACCGAAACAAAAAUGACAAACCACUACCCACUCAUGCACGCAGUGGGUUUCACUGACAUGUUUGAUAUAGCUGCAGAGGGUUACUCCGGCGGGGUCGUGUUCAUGUGGAAAAGUGAUGAGCUAAGCAUGGAUCCAGUCGCAGUCACUGACCAAAAAAUACAUGUCAAUGUGCAGGUUCCUCCUAAAAGCGAUGGGGCAGGCACAAGUCAGCCAGAUAUAUCGUGAAGCAAAUGUUGUUGCACAUACCCUAGCUCUAUAUGAAAGAAGAAUGUGCUCAAACAUGAUAGCUAGGGAAGAAGAACAUGUUUUUUGGAACUCUACUUCUCCUUUCAUUUCUUUUACUUUAUGCAAAGACAUCUCUGGAGCAUGUUCCUAGCGAACUGUUCCAUUAUGUAAUAACUCUUUAAUUUCCAGUCCUUAAAUUUGACGCAAA
Lycium barbarum (goji berry) is the source of this 5426-nucleotide RNA transcript. It is a transcript of the gene named phosphatidylinositol:ceramide inositolphosphotransferase 2-like, with no coding region annotated. The record is from RefSeq and is a predicted model, not a curated record. Lineage: Eukaryota; Viridiplantae; Streptophyta; Magnoliopsida; Solanales; Solanaceae. The transcript has 8 exons.